GGCACUUUACAGUCAGACACCUUGUAUGUAAAAAGGCAGUGAUUUUCCUAACACAUUGUAGAUUACAUUUUAUAUUUUAGGACAUGGUACAUAUAUUCCGGCAUAUUUUGCAUUUAGCCAGUUUAGCAUUUAGCAUUUACCAACCUGUUAAGUGCAUUACUGUCCUCUUAAAAUAGUAACUAAUAAAUUCUCUGUACGUCAGUUUUUACCAUUUUUAAAUGAUGUGAAGUACUUUCGUUCUCCUGACAGUUCAUGAUGUCAACAUUAUUUGCUGAUACAGCAUAAAAUGUAUAAAAUAGGUAUGUAGAUAUUUUAUAUUUAUUUAGAUAUCCAUCUUUGACAGAUGUUUGGACCAUGGGUUUUAAUUUUGAUCGUGAAUGAAGCUGAUCAAGCCUGUGGAAAAGACCAAUGAUUUUUCAUGUUGGUGUGAAGAUAUUGAUGUGAAUGAGUCGCAGUACUAUUGGUCAUGUUGUAUCUCUGAUCAUAUUGAAGAUUGCUGUGUUCGUGAUCCUUCAGUACUCCCGUGACAAGAAAGUGGAUCUGCAGUUUUGCUAUUCCUUUAUAGAUAUGUUGAUAUUUUCUUUGAUGCUGUAAAUAAACUGGAUUGUCUUAC
Molecule: long non-coding RNA, 613 nt
Organism: Penaeus indicus
Lineage: Eukaryota; Metazoa; Arthropoda; Malacostraca; Decapoda; Penaeidae
Exons: 2
Source: RefSeq, a predicted model, not a curated record